Long non-coding RNA from Trachemys scripta elegans, 1996 nucleotides. RefSeq lists it as uncharacterized. The transcript is spliced from 2 exons. The record is from RefSeq and is a predicted model, not a curated record. Lineage: Eukaryota; Metazoa; Chordata; Testudines; Emydidae.
AACAAGUUGGGCAAACAUCUGUCAGGGAUGGUCUAGUUUUACUUGUUCCUAACAUAGCACAGUGGGCUGGACUUGAUGACUUCUCAGGGUCCCUUUGUCUGACAUUUCUGUGACUUCUCUUCUGCUGCAAAUCACUUCCUCCUUGCGCUUUCUUCUCUCUCCUACAUUGUCUCAGUCAUUGAUUAUUUAACCUUCUCCAAUCAACCCCACGUCUGACUCAUCCACUAGUUAUUUGAAUAAACAUAAUGGUUUCUCUGUUACCUUGUCCUUAGUCUCCUGAUUUGUUUGCUGCACGUUUGUGUUGUCUUUUAUUCUAUGCUAAGAAGAUGUAAACACUUUAGGGCAGGGACAUGUAUAGCACUUUGCACAAUGGGAGCCUGUUGUAGGGUCACACCCUAGACUCGAGCUUUGCAGUGUAGAUGCAGUCUGUCUCCUUCCCCUCCACGACUGGUGAGCAGGGGGUCUGCUAUAAAUUUCCCUCAAUGCCAUGGGCCAACUUCCUUUGUCUUUUUAAUCCCAAGAAUCUCAAUUGACUCCACUGAAAACGGAAGCAAGCCCCCUGGGUGAACUGCAGCAGCGUAGUGAGUCAGCAUUAAGCCUUCCAUUGUCUUCUGAUUACUGAGUGGCAAACACACCAUUGGAGAGCCUUCUGUGUUUGCAAUGGAGACUGAGCAGAACAAGCCUUUUGCAAAGUGUACUGCUUGCUGGUCACAGGAGCAAAGCCAGAUUCUGGUAAAUCUCUGAUGCGAGGCCAGUAAAACAAUGGACUUCAGUAAGAGUACCAGGAAUGAUCACACAUACCAGCAAAUAGCGAAGAAGCUGGCAGCAUUGCAAAUGUACCAGACUAGUGCAGGGAGUGCAUUAACCAUCUCAAGAGUGAGUACAGGAAAACCAGGGACCAGAACUGCACCUUGGGCAAGUUGCCAACAUUGUGCCCAUUUUACGAGGCAUUUGACGAAGUGCUGGGCUUUGCACCGAGCAUGCAGCCAGUGGUGGUGUAUGAGAUCUAAUCAGCUGAAAUGGCGCCCUACUGGCCCCAGCAUCCAGCAUGGGGAGUGAUAGGAGCCAGCCGCAGGCACAGAGUGAGGCCGGCAAAGUGACUCUGUUACUGAAACUAGUUUACAGGAGGCUCUUCUGCAGGAUAUCUUGGCGCCAUACUUAGCGGAGCUGUUUGAUGUCCCACUUCCUUCCCCCAGGAUCAGCCCACCGCAGAGCCUGUAGCAGAUACAGAUGGACAGAAGCCACUCUGGAGUCUGACUCUUCAACCUCUACUGGCCGCAGUACCUCCACAGCUCGCCCACAGUUCAGUAGAAGUCUGGCCUAAUGUACCUUCACAGACUGUUCCAAGAUAUGUUUCCUGAUGAUCUUACAGGGCCAACAAACAGGUCCAUUGUCAAAAACAGAGGGACUUAUGGCUAGAGAAGAGGCAUCCCGAGAGAAAAGGCUGAGGCUGGCUGCACGGUUUGAGGACAGGGUUUCAGUGCAGGAAUAGGCACUAGGUUUGCAGUUCCUUGAACAGGAACGGUGUCUAAGGAAGGAAGACAAGUCAGCAGAGAGAAUUGUUUGAGCUGUUGAUAUCGAUAAUGGCUGCAGGAGUACCGGCUCCUGCUGUAUCACUCACAGCACAACCUGAGUCCUCAGAAACAGCCUGGAAAACUCCAUGGCUGGUUGGCCCAUGCAGUCGGGCCGCAUGAGCAGCUGGGCAGGUCAUCUUAGCCUCAUGCAGUCCUCUGUCUUGACCCCCUCCCUGUGGAGGUUUCCACCCUCUCCCCUGGAUUCAAGUGUGUGACAUAUGGGGAAAGGAGAAUAGGGGGUCAGGAGACGUGCAACAAUGGGGGGAUUCUGUCUUGUACAUGGUUUCACUGUUUAUACUUGUUCAUAUACUUUUAAAAUAAUUCUGUUACUGGUGUGAUAGUGGCAGCUGACCUGCCUGGUAAUGGGUGAAUGUUGUACUUUUAUAAUACAUGUUUAUAAAUAAAGCAUCUUGUGUAAUCAA